RNAcentral lists this ribosomal RNA (347 nucleotides) under uncultured Anaerolineaceae bacterium. RNAcentral's name for it is "bacterial SSU rRNA". It matches the Rfam family "Bacterial small subunit ribosomal RNA", at positions 1027 to 1378 of the family's 1533-position model. Lineage: Bacteria; Bacillati; Chloroflexota; Anaerolineae; Anaerolineales; Anaerolineaceae. The record is from RNAcentral.
AGCUGUUACAGGUGUUGCAUGGCUGUCGUCAGCUCGUGUCGUGAGAUGUUCGGUUAAGUCCGACUAACGAGCGCCAACCCGCGUUGUGUGUUAUAUGUGUCACACAAUACCGCCGGUAAUUAGCCGGAAGGAAGGUGGCGGAUGACGUCAAGUCAGCAUGACCUUUAUAUCCAGGGCUACACACACGCUACAAUGGACAGUACAACAGGUUGCCAAGCCGCGAGGCGGAGCCAAUCCUCUAAAAGCUGUCCUCAGUUCAGAUUGCAGGCUGCAACUCGCCUGCAUGAAGUUGGAGUUGCUAGUAACCGCAGGUCAGCUAUACUGCGGUGAAUACGUUCCCGGGGAUU